GCUCCCAUAGUUUAACAGGAUAAAACGGCGGUUUCCUAAACCGCAGCUCGGGGUUCAAGUCCCUGUGGGAGCGCCA
RNAcentral lists this transfer RNA (76 nucleotides) under SAR324 cluster bacterium. RNAcentral's name for it is "tRNA-Arg". It matches the Rfam family "tRNA". Rfam says of the family: Transfer RNA (tRNA) molecules are approximately 80 nucleotides in length. Their secondary structure includes four short double-helical elements and three loops (D, anti-codon, and T loops). Further hydrogen bonds mediate the characteristic L-shaped molecular structure. tRNAs have two regions of fundamental functional importance: the anti-codon, which is responsible for specific mRNA codon recognition, and the 3' end, to which the tRNAs corresponding amino acid is attached (by aminoacyl-tRNA synthetases). tRNAs cope with the degeneracy of the genetic code in two manners: having more than one tRNA (with a specific anti-codon) for a particular amino acid; and 'wobble' base-pairing, i.e. permitting non-standard base-pairing at the 3rd anti-codon position. Lineage: Bacteria; Deltaproteobacteria. RNAcentral also lists the same sequence under 2 other names. The record is from RNAcentral.